ACAUUGGUGGUUCAGUGAUAGAAUCCUUGCCUUCCAUGCUGAAGACCUGGGUUCAAUUUCCAGCCAAUGUA
This 71-nucleotide transfer RNA is filed under the name Loxodonta africana (African savanna elephant). It matches the Rfam family "tRNA". From Rfam's summary of the family: Transfer RNA (tRNA) molecules are approximately 80 nucleotides in length. Their secondary structure includes four short double-helical elements and three loops (D, anti-codon, and T loops). Lineage: Eukaryota; Metazoa; Chordata; Mammalia; Proboscidea; Elephantidae. The record is from Rfam by way of RNAcentral.